UACGUAGGGUGCGAGCGUUGUCCGGAAUUAUUGGGCGUAAAGGGCUCGUAGGCGGUUUGUCGCGUCGGGAGUGAAAACACCGGGCUUAACUCGGUGCUUGCUUUCGAUACGGGCAGACUAGAGGCAUGCAGGGGAGAACGGAAUUCCUGGUGUAGCGGUGAAAUGCGCAGAUAUCAGGAGGAACACCGGUGGCGAAGGCGGUUCUCUGGGCAUGUCCUGACGCUGAGGAGCGAAAGCGUGGGGAGCAAACAGG
Molecule: ribosomal RNA, 253 nt
Filed under: uncultured bacterium
Lineage: Bacteria
Description: partial 16S ribosomal RNA
Rfam family: Bacterial small subunit ribosomal RNA
Source: RNAcentral